GGGUAACGGCCUACCAAGGCUACGAUCAGUAGGGGUUCUGAGAGGAUUAACCCCCACACUGGUACUGAGACACGGACCAGACUCCUACGGGAGGCAGCAGUGAGGAAUAUUGGUCAAUGGGCGGAAGCCUGAUCCAGCCAUCCCGCGUGAAGGAAGACAGCCUUACGGGUUGUAAACUUCUUUUCUGUCAGAAGAAUAAGCUUGUCGAGACGAGUGAUGCCGGUAUGACAGGAAUAAGCAUCGGCUAACUCCGUGCCAGCAGCCGCGGUAAUACGGAGGAUGCAAGCGUUAUCCGGAUUUAUUGGGUUUAAAGGGUGCGCAGGUUGUUUGAUAAGUCAGUGGUGAAAGUCUGUCGCUUAACGGUAGGAUUGCCAUUGAUACUGUUGGACUUGAAUAUGGAUGAGGUAGGCGGAAUGUGUAGUGUAGCGGUGAAAUGCAUAGAUAUUACACAGAACACCGAUUGCGAAGGCAGCUUACAAAUCCAAGAUUGACGCUGAGGCACGAAAGCGUGGGGAUCAAACAGGAUUAGAUACCCUGGUAGUCCACGCCGUAAACGAUGAUCACUCGCUUUUUGCGAUAUACAGUAAGCGGCAAGCGAAAGCGUUA
RNAcentral lists this ribosomal RNA (606 nucleotides) under uncultured bacterium. Its description in RNAcentral is "bacterial SSU rRNA". It matches the Rfam family "Bacterial small subunit ribosomal RNA", at positions 255 to 862 of the family's 1533-position model. The record is from RNAcentral.